AACGCACCUUGCGCCCCAUGGUAUUCCGUGGGGCAUGCCUGUUUGAGUGUCACGUAAACCCUCAUCCGUGCGAUCUUACCGUCGCAUGAAUGGACUUGAGUGUUGCCGUAGUCGGCUCGCUCUGAAAUGCAUUAGCUUUGCGUCUAUUAGCGCGCUCGGCGUGGUGUGAUAAUUAUCUUCACCUAGCCUUAGGCCGCUUCCAAUGUCGCUGCUUCCAAUGGUCUUCACGGACAAAUCCAAUCAAAGCUUUGGCCUCAAAUCAGGUAGGACUACCCGCUGAACUUAA
RNAcentral lists this unclassified non-coding RNA (286 nucleotides) under uncultured Auriculariales. RNAcentral's name for it is "sequence contains ITS2". The stretch from base 1 to 52 matches the Rfam family "5.8S ribosomal RNA", at positions 103 to 154 of the family's 154-position model. The record is from RNAcentral. Lineage: Eukaryota; Fungi; Basidiomycota; Agaricomycetes; Auriculariales.